AAACACUGCAAACUGCUACAGACUGCAUUAGAACAUUCAUAUGGUAAAAAGCCUAGUAUGCAAAAGGCCAAGAGUAAAGUUCUUACCUUCAAAAGUUGAAGCUCCAGCUCCUCCUGCAUGGCAUCAGACCCCAGCACUAAAGGAACUUAGCGUAUAUGGAAUCGCCAAUAAAUAAGGUACUUCAAGCAUCAGUUUGUUCUAAUUUAGAAAAUAUAUGCAUUUCGAUAGAAUUCUUAUCAUAAUAUAAACUAAGUGUCGUAUUUAAGUUAAACGUAGGUAGUAACUAAAUAACUAAAAAUGUUAAGAAAAUAAACUGCAAAUCCAGAAAAAAAAAAAAAGAAAAGAAAAGUGCUUGUGGUCUUUCUGCCCUUCGAACCAUCAAGAUUACACAAAGGGAUAGGAUUAAUAGGGCACUCAUAAACUAGUUUUCUUAAGUUUAUAAUUGCAACAUUCCUUGCACAACAAAUUGAACGUGAGUAAGAGGACAUAAAUUCAAACACAAUGAGAUGAAUACUAAUUGGCAAUCUCAUUUCUCUUUGCAACAUGAAACAUUUCGCCUUGUAAACACUACAUCCAAUGUUUCUUUAGUUUAAUCGAAGUGAGACAUCGAGAAACACGCUUAACGAUUCAAUCAUCUACCGAUACUCGAUCGAGUAAACUCGAAAUUAUAUAUUAAUAAGAAAUGCAAAAAAUUAAAAUAAAUAAAUGAAAAUUCUCGUAACACUGAUCGCUCGAUUCGAGUGUGAUUCAAUUAGUUACGAUUAACUAAGAAGACAAGAUCGAGAAGAAAUGAGAAUUUCAAAGAGAAAUUAAGUUACCGCGACAGCAUUACAAGCAGCACAUUUGUCUUCGAUGCAAGCAGCUACUGAGAAGAUGACGAAUAGCAUCACAAGCCACGUUAUUGACCCUGCCAUCUUCGUCUCCUCCGAUUUCGCCUCUCCCGGUCUCUCUCUCUCUCUCUCUCCAUGGAAACAAGAAACGUCUGUUUUAAUUCAGAGAAGACUCCAGGUAUGGGCCUUUAUGGGCCUGCGGCUCAUUCAAUAGAUUUUCAAUUUUAAUAUUUUUUUUAAGCUUAAAUAGUAAAAUAGUACAUUUACCAUUUAAACUUUUUUAUUUAAGCUCUUAUACAUACAUACAUAUAAAUAUAUAUAUUUUUUCCAUAUUGACUCUUAUUUAUUUAUAUUAUUUUAAAAAUUCAUGUUAUUUUAUGAACUAAAAUAUUUAUAAUAACUUGUAGCGGUGAAAUUUAAUUUAAUCACUAUAAUUUUAUUAAUAUAUUAAUGAAUUAAAUUAUAAAUUAAAAUUUUAAUUAUUUUUUAAUUUAUAACAUGUGUAUUAAAUUCUAAAUAUUUAAAGCUACAAAAUAAUUAAAAUCAAUAUAUAAAAUUUCAUUAAUUAAACAACAAAUUUUAGAUUGGCAUAAAUAGUUACCAUUUAAACUUUUUUAUUUAAGCUCUUAUACAUAUAUAUAUAUGUUUUCUAUAUUGACUCGUAUUUUUUUUAUAUUAUUUUAAAAAACUAUAUGUUAUUUUAAGAACUAAAAUAUUUAUAAAGUUAGAUUCAUAAUAAUUUAUUGCUUGAAAUUUAAUUUGAUUAUUAUAAUUUUAUUAAUAAAUUAAAUGAAAAAUUUUAGAUUGGUAUAAAUUACUUGCUUUUUAGCCCUAAAGUUAUAUGUUAUGUUGCAAUUAAGUAUAUAUAUUUAUUUUAAUUUGGUUCCUAAUCAUAUAAAAUCACUUAAAAAAUAUAAUUUUUAGUAAAAGUUUUUGUAUAAGUAUAAAAAAUUAAUAAUUUUUUUUUAUUCACAAAACAUAAAAAAGUUACAAAAAUUACAAUCAUUCUAUUUAGUAUUAUGAUUAAACAAAUUCAAAAAAUUAUAACGUAUAUUUAUUUAUUCCAUAAUUAAUUUUAUCAUCGUUUGUAUUGUUCUACAUAAAUUAACUUAAUUAUUUUCGUUAAGUCUAAUAAAGUUGAUCUUUAUUUAUUUAUAAUUUUUAAACUUUAUAUAAAAUAAAUAAAUAAAAAUUGUGGUAAUAUUCUGUCACACUUUAUUAUGGUUGUAUAAAAUAAUAAUAAUAAUAAUUUGUAAUUUUAAGAAUUAGAUUAUAACAAAUUUUCAAAACCUAAUUAUGCCAUGAUGAUUAAUUCAAAAUUAAAAAUCAUAAUUACUCUACACGUUAAUUAAUAGAUUAGAGUACCCUAAAUACAUGCACCUUUUUUAAAAUUUCAAUUACUAUAAAUUUAAUUUAGUUUAUAAAAAUUAAUUUUUAUUAUAUAAAUUAUAUUUUUCUUUAUAUUAUCGUUUUGACACACAAUAUAUAUAUAGGUAAUUAAUUUUUAGCAUCUAAUAAGUACAAUUUUAAUAAUAGUAAUAAAUAAAUAAAUUACAAAGUACACUAGACGCAGGUUGUGGGGCCCGAUUUAUGUAGGUGGGGUAGGCCCCACACGGAGCGGAGUGCGGUCCUAAAUCCAGGCCGUCCGAUUAGAGCGUAAUGUAUUCCAAGAUUAGAAGCCAAUUUGGAAUGCACUUUUUUAUUUUUGUGAAAUUUCAUGAUUUGCUUGUUGGUAUGUCUGAAAAGGCACGUUAUGUUGUAGCAUAGUCGUACACUUUUUAUUUAUUUAUUUUUUAAUAAUUUAUAUUUUAUUUAAAAUUUUAAAAAAUUUUGUAAAUAUAUAUUAUUUAUUUAUUUUUUAACGGCCAGUAUUUUAUUUAAAAAUUAAAAAAAAAAAAAAACAAUUAUGGAGAAAUCUUUUGCGAUGAAUACGAGAGAAGCCACUGCAGCGGGGAGUGGUUUUUGAUGGGAUAAUCAUAUUUUUACAUUUGACUAAAUCAACGAACCCCCGUGGGGUCCACCAUCUAACAACCCUCCGAAUUUCACUCAUUGCCACUCCCCCAUCCCCCGCUCCUUCCACUCCACACGCUAAAUCUCGCACGUGCUCCGUCCGUCCCAUCCGACGGCUCUCAACACGUCUACAAUUUUAUAAUCAACGGACCCCGGCGCACCUGAUAUGAUGCCCGGCUAAAAGUGCCCGUACGGAAUCAAAACAAAGGCUGUGUUUUUUAAUCAGUGCUGCGUCGCUUUACUAAUUCCAGACCGACCAACCAGAACGUAAUUUUUUUUUUUCCGGUUUAAUAUUUUAUUAUUUGGGGAGAGAAAUAAAAACAAGAGUGCAGACACACAUACACACACUCUCUCUCUCUCUCUCUCUCUCUCUCUCUCUCUCUUCCGUGAUCGAUCCCGUUGUAUUAAAAUACAGGUCAAUGGAAAAUGUCGCAAAAUCGGCAUAUUGAGUCUUGAAACCGUGAAUCUCAUCUGAGAUUUAGCGUUUUGGCUUUGAAAAUUUUCUCUUCAAAGUGAGGAUUUGGUUUGUCAUUUCUCAGAUUUUGAUUUAUGAGGAGCAGUUCCGGAUGAUUUAGUGCGGAAGUUUGUGUUUCUGUUCGUGCAAUGUAAGUUUCGUUUCUUCUUACCGGAUUUGAAUUUUUGGUAAAGGAACGCGGUGUGUUACUGAGAGAUUUAGUUGGAAGAAGAGAAAACCUUCAGAUUUUGUGCUGUGAGAUUAGCUUAAAUUGGCUGUUGAGGGAGCUUUUCCGCGCAAUUUUUUUUUUUUUUUUUCCUUUGAAGCCGAUAUGAUGUAUUUGCGUUUCUUAGCAUUUAUUGCUGCCUCGUUUUUUGAGUUUUCGUUUGUUAUUUGUUUCGUAUCUCAUUUGAGGAAAUCUGAAAUGAGGAUUCAUUUUGAACGAAUUGUUGUGGUACCUUGACUGUUCCUGAUUUGACUUGUGGAAUUUAUCUUGAUCACGAAACAUUUAUCAAGGUAAUUGGAUUUUGCGUCCUUCUUUUACCUGCAAGUCGGUGUUUCUUUUUUUUGGGUACAAAAACUGGUGAAUCUUACCGGGAUUUGCUUUGAAAUAUAAUGUAAUUAAUCCUCUAACUUAAAAUCAGAUUUUUUGCUCUAAUUACCUUUUAAUUUCACAUAUUUGCUACCCUAGUUGAAUUAUUUCUUCCACUUAGUUUACGGGCGUGAAAAUUCCGUAGACUGUGAUCAUUUGAGACGGCUUGCAUUUUAAGAAAUAUUUAUAGCUAAAUUCUUUAUCUUUAUUGUAAUUCUGUUCCAAUGUGUUUAAGAAAUAUUUAUAGUAAAUUUUUUUCCUUAUGGUUCUUGGGAAAGUUGGAAAAGCAAGAGUAUUGCGUCUACAGUCUCAAGCUUAAUAUGAAUUCCUUUCCUGUCCAUUUACUUUUUAAAUUUUAAUUGAAAAAUUCGGCAGAAGUAGAUAUGAUUUUGCAAAAAGGGUUUGUGAUAGAGGUAACUUUUUCUUGUUAUUUUAAUCAUAUAUGUGGGAGUCAUGUAUAUAUUCUCUUUUGUUUAUGAAUCACCAGAAUCUUUUUCUUGUUCAAUCAGUAUGCAUUUCCCUUCUAUUUACACAACAUUGAUGUAUUUAGAUAAUCCUAAUUGUGCUGUUGCUGAAUUGCUUCAUGGUGUUUUUAAUUCUUUAAGAGGGUUGGACAUAAUUUAUCUGGGUUUCUUUCUGUAGAUGGAUGAUAGAAUACAGGCUGAGCACCAAAUAUCAUCAUCAAUAGACGUCGAACGAAAGAAAUGGGCUUUAUGCUUUUGAUUGCAAAAGAUUAGAUAACAGAAUGCUUUCUGAGAAGCUGACAGGAGAAGAAUCAUUUCAUCAGGAUUUUGAAGUGCUGAGCAUCUCAAAACGGCUAGUGAGAAGUGUCAGUCAAAAAUUAAGAAAGAAGAACCGCAGGAGUGAAGAAGAGGAAGAAGCAAUUACAAGAAGGAUUUCUCUCAACUGUCUUGCUCUAUACGGCAGAGGUGGUGGCUGCAAAGUAGGAGCUGCCACAAGCGAGGAAUUUGGGGAUCCAAAUAGUAGAAGGAAGUCAAGUGCCAGUGAAGAAGGGAAAGGAUACAAAGUUAUAUGUGGUAAUGAGGAAACUGGAGUGGAUUGCUUCUCUUAUGGUGUGAAGGAGAAGUUUUGGAAGAAAAGUAACAAAAAAUAUUUGCAACUUGAGGAGUCAGUUCGAAAUAGCAGGAUGCACAUUUUUCUUCCAGAUGAUAUUCUGGAGAUGUGUUUGGUGAGACUGCCAUUGACCAGUCUCAUGAAUGCUCGUCUUGUGUGCAAGAAAUGGAGAUACUUGACUUCUACUUCCCGGUUCCUGCAGAUGAGACGAGAAGGUUCUCACCAGAAUCCAUGGUUGUUUCUUUUUGGUGCUGUUAGAGAUGGCUAUUGCUCUGGGGAGAUUCACGCAUUGGAUGUAUCUCAAGGACAAGGGCAUAGAAUUGAUGCUGGCAUCCUGAAAGGAAAGGUUCAUGUUUUCUGUUGCCAGUAUCCAAGAUGAUAUUUAUAUUGUUGGAGGUUGUUCUAGUUUGACAAACUUUGGUAGGGUUGAUAGAAGCUCAUUCAAGACACAUAAAGGAGUAUUAGUGUUUAGUCCUUUAACUAAAUCUUGGCAUAAAAUUGCAUCAAUGAGGUAUGCAAGGUCAAUGCCUAUUUUGGGAAUAUCUGAGGUUGGUUCAGAUUUCUUGAUCAUUCAAAGUCAUCAAAACCAGCAGGAUAGGCGUUUCCCAAGGUCACGAACUGGUGGGGUGUCCGAUGUUUAUGGGGAUCCUCACAGGAUUUCCUUAAGACGCCAACAAAGAAGUGGUUUUGAUGAAAAUGAGGCUUCAUCCAUGCCAUGCAAAAAAUCACACAAGUACACGAGACAGAAAAGUGAUCAGUCAAACACGAAGGGUUCCAAAAGAUUUGUGCUGAUUGCUGUAGGCGGUCUUGGAUCUUGGGAUGAGAGUCUGGACUCAGGAGAAAUCUAUGAUUCUGCAUCAAAUAAAUGGACCGAAAUCCAGAAGCUGCCUAUAGAUUUUGGAUCUGUUUGUUCAGGGAUUGUUUGUAAUGGAAUUUUUUAUGUUUAUUCUGAGACUGAUAAACUGGCAGGUUAUGACAUAGAAAGGGGGUUUUGGAUUGGAAUUCAAACCUCUCCUUUUCCUCCUCGGGUUCAUGAAUACUAUCCAAAGCUUGUGUCUGGUAAUGGGCGACUAUUCAUGCUUUGUGUCUCAUGGUGUGAAGGAGAUGGUCAGAUUGGCAGGAGAAACAAGGCUAUUAGGAAAUUAUGGGAGCUAGAUCUUAUGUAUCUUAGCUGGUCUGAGGUGUCUGUGCAUCCUGAUGCCCCAAUGGACUGGAAUGCUGCAUUUGUUGCAGACAGGAAUCUGAUAUUUGGAGUUGAAAUGUUCAAAAUAUUUGGUCAGUUGUUGGACUUCUGGACUGUAUAUGAUGUGUCUGAUAUGAGAACAAACUGGAGACAUAUUUCGAGAAACCGCAUGACUCAUGAACUUGAUGCAUCUUCAUGCAUGACAAAAACAAUGGCUCUGUUACAUCUUUAGUUAACUCUGCAAACUGAGCUUAUUGCCGACAAUUUUAGGUAUGUAUUUGCACUCAUGAGGAGAUUUUGGAUGCAUGUUGUGACCUCCGAGUUUCUUAUUGAAUUCUUUGGAUUUGAUGAAAUUGAAACAUGUCCAUUGUCUCUGAUCCCCUUCAUUGUUCAUCGCUUUCAUGUAACUUUUUCACCUCCGUUAUUUGCCAAGUUCCAUGGACUAUGGAUCUUGUGUUUCAUGUAACUUUUUGAAUCCAGGAUACUCUUUUUAAAGGUUCUUAAUGCACACAUCAUAAACAGUUUGUUAUCGAAAGGAAUUCUAAUCUUACAUAAAUUUUAUAUGUUUAUUCUCAUUCUUUAGAAGAGUUUUUUUUUUUUUUUUUUUAAUUUUAUAUCAUGUCCCCUAUGAUUGUGUUUAACAAAAUGUGACAAUGAGCCGCCACCACAUAUUCAGAUGUAUUUCCUUUCAUCUUGAACCGGUCUGAGUUGCAUUUUCGAAGGUGAACAAAUUGAGAACCAGUAAGUUGGAAGGCACCCUGGAAGCAAGCUCACGACUAACCUAAACAAGAGAGACAAGUAAAUCUUCUUUGGCCCCGAUAUCAAUCUUCUUCACCACAAAAUACUCAAGAUAUCAGAAGUUUCUGUUAUUUGCAAAACUAAAUUCAAAUACUGCCGUGUUAAGAGAUCAGUGACCGAACGAAGUAAAAUCUGAAAUGCUGUCAUUAGCAACUACCAACUAGAACAAACAUGCAUUUGAAGCUUCAUCUAUUGAGCUUGACAAAUGAGAUGAAACAAAGAAAGUUGUACACAGGAUGAAAUAGUGAAGGAGACAGAAAAUGGGAAGAACUCUGAGAUGGACAAGUGAUGAUGAGAUGGGGUCAUUAACAUAAGACGGGGAAAUCAGAGGGGGGGGUGGCGGCAGAAAAUUAGACUUAAAAGAUGGAGUUUUAGAGGUGGUGAUGAGAUGAGAUGAUGAACAGAAGAUAGAGGGAAAUCAGGGGGUGGAAUUAGAACUCAAAGAUGGAUUUUUAGUGGUGAUGAUGAGAUGAGAUCAUGAGAGACGUGAUCGUGAACGAGAGUGUCAACAAGCGAGCUAGCCUAAAUUAUAAUUCCAGGGUUUAGAAAUAGGAACCUAAAUUCUGAGCUGGACUGAAUUAGAACGGAGAUUGGAAAGGUAAAAAUUUAAAUCAAAUAUCAGAACUCGAAUGGAAUUAAUUUGAGAUGAAAUUUGGUUGGGAUUACAAAAACCUAAUGUAGUAGCAUCUCAAAUUACAACCAAAUCCCAUUUCAAAUUAAUUCAACAAGAAACUACCAGCACAUUUGCUAGGACGGUGCCAUGAUUCACGUGAAGAAAUGGAAAUUAGUGAGGCAGAAUAUUGAAAAUGAAUGGCUUUCAAAACACUCUACAAAUUAAAAAUAUGCAAUAACCAACAUACAUUUAUCGGCAGUUUGAUGCUUUGCAGAUCAUAUCCAUACAUCAGCCUCAAAACUGCCUGUGACAAGAAGAACAAUAAUAAUACAUGAUGUGCACUCACCAAACUCGGGAUGGAGCCUAUCCCAUGUUUGGAAAUAUUCCAGAAAAGUUGGGUAUCUUAUCCACAUGUUUCAAGGCCCGCUCAGCAAUCUGCCGAGUUCGAUAGUCUGCAUGUUGGAAUGCAUCAACAAGUGCGGCACUCACAUUUGGAUCUCCAGAAACCUCAAAUGCUAUCUCAUCAGUGCGCAAAAUUCUCUCAACCAUCCAAACUGCCCUACUCCUCAGGUUCUCCGUUCGCUUCUCCAGUAAAACAUCAAGUAUUGGUUUAAUUCCCUCUGCUUCAUAUAAGACAUUUACUCCUUGUGCAAUAUCUACCCCAUCAUCUAACAAAGUAGAAAGCGCUGCCAGUACUGCCUCAACCACCUUUUCAUUUGUGUGGUCUAGUAGUGCCACCAACUCCUCCACCGCCUUUCCUUUCAGAAGACAGAAGCUUUCUUUCAAAGAGCAUGUUCCCCGGUGAACUGGGCAUAAUCCUAAUACAACAGGGGGCUUGCUAAAGCAUGGAAAGAUUGAGGCACAGAAACCUGGCAGUCGCAACUCCGGUAAGUUUGUCAAAUUUUUAGAUUCCUGAGACAAAUUCUCCAAUGCCAUGGCAGAAACCAUCUGUAUAUUGUCAAGUCCAUUGGACUGAAGUAGUUCAAUGAACAGUGCUGCAAGAUUGUACUCACGACAGAGGACAAUAGCAUCUGGUUCAUCAGGCAGGACAAAUGUAACCCUUAGAAGAACCCGUACAAGCCCUUCUAGAAAUGGUGUUACAAAGCGGAUGCCCCUAGCCUCUCCCUGCCGAAUCUUAACCACUUUUGAAAUGAUUGACUGAAAGGCACCUUCAUCUAGUAAUUGGUGUGUCAAGCCCAAAUCCCGCUCUGGAAGUUCAGCUAAAAGGCCAGCUGCUGCUGCCUGCUCCUCAGUAAUUCCAAUAUUUUCUGAUAUGACUUUGAUUAGGGUGCCAAGCUGGCUAGCUGUGCCGCGUAGGGCAUCUGCUAGCUCCUGACUCAUGUGAGGAGAGAGGUUUUGGAGAAGUUUGAUGGAAGCUACACGCAAAUCCUUUUGGGAAGCCUCAAGAAAUAGAACCAAACUGAUGAUAGCACCAGAACUUUUAAUGGCAGCAACUACAUUCAGAACAGUGGAAGGAUAACUAGUGAGUCCAACAAGAACCUGUAAGAGCUUGCACGCAAUUGCUGGACCAGUAUUACUAAUUAGAUGAAGCAGGUUAUGGACUAUUUCUUCUGAAACCAGGGUUUGAUGAUCAGAUCCAACAAAGAUGGAGUCAAAGUCGUAGCCAGAACUUACGACGUUGGCAAGAAUUGUUGCAGACACCUCCUUCAGUCUAGUGGGAAGUUGAUUGGCACCAAAACUAAAGAGGUCCUUGACAAGAGGAGGAAGGAUUCCUGCCUCAAGUAGAACUUUGGCACUUCCCUCAAAAGAUGAAAUUGAGUUAAGAGCUUUCAGUGCAGCUUCUCGUGACUGCAUAUUACCACUUUUCAUAAUAUUGAUGAGAGAUGAACCUGCAGUUUGAGCCACAAGGACCUUCAUGUCAUUGUUUAAAACCAGGUCACCAAGGAAUGAAGCCAUUGACAAUUUGGUUUCCUGUGAACCUGCAGCCAUUAUAAAGAACGGAAACUCAUUAUAUUGGUGCAAACAUUUUUGUGAGCUAAAACUAGAAUAAAGAGAAAAGAUUUGCAAAUGGAUUCAGAAGAUGUUUCACAUUUCUUUCUGAGUCUUUAAUUUUUUUUUAUAAAAAAAUAAAGAUAACAACAAACUUCAUGAAACAAGACUGUCCAAGACUGGGAAGAUGUAUCAGUAACAUACCAGUUAGCAAUGACAUGUCAAAAAAGAAGUAACCUUGUAUGGUAAAAAUACAUUUGCGCUGGGAAAUAGUGAUAACUAGGAAAAAAGGAAAAAUAAAAAAAGGCAACUCAUGAGGGACAGAUAAAAGAGAAAAAUACAAUGCCUCCUGAAGCCUUCUAAACUCAAAAAUUCCAUACUUUAAUAGUUGAUUACAGGAAGAAGUCAAUCCUUCUAAUGUCUUCUGUUUUAAUCAUUGCAAAGUGUAAAAAAAAAAAGUCAUACAAACAACAAAUCAAUAAAGUGAGAUUUUCAAAUAGACACAUGGUAUAACUUCCAUAAGGAAAAAAGAAUAAAUUUGAAACCAACCAAGUGUCAAGGACACUGCUUGUAGAAACAUAAUGCAAUGUAAAAAGCUAUAGAGGAGCAGAAGCACCUUUAAGGAGUAAUGCCGAUAGAGGCUGCAGUCUACCAUUUUCAGCCAUCUGCCUUACAUUAUUCUCAUACUUCUCCAAGUUUUCCAGCGUCUUUUCAGCUUUCUCAACUGUCAAAAUAUUUUCAGAUUUACUGCUUGACAUUCCAACCAAGAUGAGAAUUGCUCCAUUGAUUGAACCAAUCUUCUCAGACAAGGCUUCUGAUUUUGAGAGCUCGUACAACAAAGAGACUGCUUCCUCCCUCUCUUUCGAAAGCUCAUGAGACAAGAAUUUGACAAUGGUCCGCACAGUAUCCCCCUCGGCUAAUAUUGCCUGGAUAACACUGAAAUCCAGUUAACAAGAGGAACUAAAAUCAUCAAAGUAUUGUCAUUAUAGUUGUAAAAGAGACCAGCAAACCUCGGACAACCUUAUUAUCAGCAUCUUCUUCCACCAGAAUCCGCAGGGUCUCCAAAGCCGUACACCGAACUUUGCGACUGCUACUCUUCAACAUGUCAACAACCAUAGAUACUAUCUCCACAUUACGCACAACAUGUUUAUUUGAUUGGCUCCUCUGGCAGAUAUGCUGAACAUACUUCAAAGCCAGCAAAAUAUCACCUUCUGCACUUGAAAUAUUCAGUGAUUGACAAGCUCUUUCAAGCUGCGCAGUUUCAUUUCUAGCAGUCCAUUCUUCAAUAGUGUUUCGCAGAGCUAUACUAGGAUUCAGGUCUGUACUUUUUAAUUCCUUGAGAGUCAAUGGGCAAACAGGCUUUCUGCCACUCUCUCUACAUUCCUUGAACCACUUUUCAAUUGCUUCACGUUCAAAAGUUUGCCCAUUCUCCAAAGUAACUGGGUCACACAUAACUUGCUUUGUCAGAGGGCAAACAAACGCAUCAUAAAUAGGCUCUUUGUGCAGUCUCUCAAAAUAACAACUGUCAUCUGAUUGACUACCAUGGUUAUAGCUUCCAUCCAAGCUCCCAGCCAUGUGAUUGAUUUAGCACUGAAAGAAAUAAUAGGGCAUUAUAGUUAUGGUGAUCAAGACGGCACAAUACAAAACAAGAUAUCUGAUUCAGGAAGAAAACCAAACAAGAUAUCUGAUUCAGGAAGAAAACCAACAACAACUACUAUAACAACAAAGGAAAUGCAUUGUGGUCAAUAAUGUAAUCGCGUACCAUGAAGAAAGGACAUGAACACACAAAAUUGUGUUUCAAUUAUUUGUCAAGUUGGAGAAGUGGAGGCCUACAAAAAGUUCAAGAGUAAAAAAAAAAAAUGAUUGAAUUUAAAAUUCAAAUCAGUUCCCCUAUAGUUUCAUAAUAAACAAUAUCAUAAUCUCUGAUGCAAAACAAGAUAUUAUUUUGGAACCAAAUUUCAAUUAGAGGAAUUUUUUUGUAAUAGUUAUUAUUAUUUCAUAUGUUAAGUUAUUUAGAUUUUUUUUAGGCAUUAAAAUAUUUUUGGUUUCCUAUUUAUGUAGAUUUUAAGUAUUAUGGGAAUUAGAAAAUCUCUUUUAUAAAUUUUUUGUUAGUUGUAAUUAAUGUUCAUACAACAGCUAGUAGUUACCAAGAAGAAAAAGGAUAGACGAUGAUGAAUUAUAAAUUUCUCUAUUAGAUUUUAUUCUCUAUUAUUUUUCUUUGUAUUCCUUCUUUUGAUUAUUGUUAUGUCUAACAUAUCUGGUUCAGUAUAUUUCUCUUAUACUUCUUCAUAUUGAUCUCUAUUCCUUCUGGUCUAUCUUUAUUCUUCUAUUUCUCACUUAAAUUUUCUCUAUUUUCAAACUAUUUGUUUAUUUAAAAAUAAAUAAAUUAUUUGUAGGACAAGUUAGUUCAACUGCUAUUCGUCCUACAUCAGUUACUUGCAGAGCCCAACUUUUACUCCUACUUUCUGCCACUUUUACCCUGCAUAGGGAAAAAAAAAAAAAAAAAGAGAAAAGAAACAAACAGUGAAAAGGUCAUGCAACCUUUCCUAUUCACCACUGUUCGUUAAGAGGUCACUGACGCCACCAUAACCAGUGGACUCAUAAAACACUGACCAGCGUAAACCCGGAGCAUCAACAACUAAAACCACUGAAAAACACAUGACUCGCUGUUACUCCCAAACCUCUAUUAUCCUGCAGGAUCUUUAUCUUCCUAGCCACCACAAGUAACAUUGACCACUAACCUAGAAUCCUGUGACAAACAAAGUUGUAAUAUCAACCUCGGUCUCCACCUGUUCCUGGAGACUGGCACGGAGCCACACACCCCUGAACCCAGGUGAGCUUUACUUUUGCUACUCUGGUUGAACAAUUCACCCCUUAUUUUGACCCGUCCAGUUUGACCCAUUCGGUACAAACCUGUACAAAUUGGUUAUCCUUCAGUUCAAACAGGUUCAUAAGAUUUUUAGUGGGUUGUACUCGUUUUCAGUUUAGUUUGACUAAUGUGCAUUAGAUAAGUCGUUUCAGAGCAUAUCAAAGUUAAAGAUAACAGUUUGGCAUGAAAUCAGAUAAAAUUUUGGUUACAAUUUAUCAUACAAUCUGCCUGAUUAUCAUGAUGUGCUGUACUAAGUUUUUGCUCGUUAUGGAUGGAUAAAAAGUAUUAAUAUAUUUCCACAUAAUCAACCUUGUAUCUAACAAAAAUGUUCUGGAGAGGUUGUGUGCGCUAAAAAAUUCUUUACACGGACAUUGCAUAUAUAAUAACUGUACAAGAAUAUAACAAUGAGAAUGAGGAGCCUUUUCAACUAAAGCUUCUCUUAACUAGAAGAGUCAAUCUUGAAGUUCUUCUCGAAUCAGGGUGGUAGUUCAAAAGACAUUGGUUCCAGUAGAAAUUGUUUAUAUUCAUGCUAGUUAUGUUGAUAAAUUUCCUCCUUUCAACAAUCUUGUUCUACAUUCUAUUACUAUUGAAGUGGUUUUCUUCCAUGUAUAACUACAUUAAAGAGAUUUCUUUAGGUGAUUUCAUUUUGCCUAAUUGUUUUAUAAUCCAAGAGGCUUAUAAUUUUGGUUAAUUUUCAUUUUUUUUUUCUGGAAAUUAGCAAAAGUAACGAGUUUUUGAAAAUUUUGAAGAGCAUUUUUGAGCCUUUCCUAUCCUGAUGUUUUAUUACUUCAAAACUUGAGGUUGAGUUUUUACAGGUAGGUAUUGUUUCAGCAAGUUUUCAACGGAAAAAAUUUUUUACAAUAAUUUUUAUUUUGUAUUUUUAAGUUACUUAAAUUUAUCUACACAUUAUAAUAUUUUAGUUUCUUAUUUAUGUAGAUCUAAAUUAGAAUCUUUUAGAUUUCUUAUUCUGUAAUUUUUAUUAAUCGAUGGUGCUUAUAUAAAAGCUCGUAUAGCUAACUGAAAAGAAAAAGAAGACAGACGAAGAUGAAUUAAGAAUUUCUUCAUUAGAGUUUAUUCAGUUUUAUUUUUCUCUGUGUUCGUUCAUCUAAUUAUUAUUCUGUUUAGCCUCUCAUUCACUAUACUUUUCCAUAUAUUUCAGCACCUUGAUCUCUAAUUUCCUCUUAGUCCAUCUUUAUUUGUCUGCUAAACUUUCUCUGUUUCUAAACUAUUCAUAAGGUAAGUUAGUUGAAACGCUAAUCGUUCAGCAUCAAUCUCACUUCACAAACUUCACACAUCUAAUCUCAUUGCAACAGGCCUGAAAACAGUAAUCUCAAAAUCACUUCUUCCAAAUGCAGGUGAAUUCAAACGGGCACCUAUCUAUUUGAUCACCCAAAAUUAACUGAAAUAGCAUAUGUAAGUUAGUUGAAACGCUAAUCGUUCAGCAUCAAUCUCACUUCACAAACUUCACACAUCCAAUCUCAUUGCAACAGGCCUGAGAACAGUAGUCUCAAAAUCACUUCUUCCAAAUGCAAGUGAAUUCAAACGGGCACCUAUCUAUUUGAUCACCCAAACUUAACUGAAAUAGCAUAGGUAAAUGCGAACCCAACGGUGGCUCUCCAACCAAAAAUUCUGUGAAGCCUCACCCGUUGCCAGUCAACAAAUCCAAUUAAAUUUUAACUAAACCAAGCUAAUUUAGGAAUAUUCUCUACUCAUUAAUUAAUAAAGGAAGUAUAGAUGUACUAAAACUUAUCAAUUGAUGAGAAGCACACGAAUCGGGUCAAUAAAAGCAAGAAUCAUCUCAGUAAUUAACAAGUACUUACUCCUGCUAAUUGUCAUCAUGUGAACCAAACAUUCAACAAUAAUAUCUCACACUUGGAAGACAAAAUAAAAGAUCCAUAAAUCUUACCUAUAUCAAUUCCCAAGCCGAAGUAAUGAAUCUUGAAGAAUGAAACCCUAAAUAUCUAGUUGUAGAUUCCGAAAAGAGCUAUUGGUAUACAGCUGGAGCAAAGAAGAUAUCCAGAAAAAUUGGUUGAUUGUUCUUCCUCUUCCAUGGACCAAGUUAGCUCGCCUCUCCCCUGGAGAAUUUCGAAGUCUGUUAUUAAAGCGCGUAGGGUAGUGGUAGGUUUAUAAUAAACCUGUAAUUGGAAGAGAAAAAAAAUAAAAAAUAGAGGGGGCUUGGUUGAAGAAAGCAAUAACAGGAGCUGAAAGAGAAAUGAAGGUUAGCAUAAGAGAAGAGAGAGAGUUGACCCAAAUGCGAAUAGUCAUUGGAGAGAGAAGCGUUACGUAUGAAUGAAAAGCCACCAACCCCAAUGGUCCACAGUCUGCGUCCACGGCCAGCCAAACAUUAAUAUCAUUGGAGGGAACUAACUGGUAAUCAUCACUGAGUAGUAGAGUGGGACGGCAAAACGGUGCGUUUUACUCAAUCAUUUGCCUAGUCAACCCCCCCACAAAAUCAUUAUUUCUCAUUGAUUUGAAAUAUAAAUAGUGAAAAAAUAUAAUUAUAAUUUAUUUCAAAGGUUUAAAAUUUUAUUUUAAUAUUUUAAUUUUAAUUUUUAUAUUUACAUUUUAUUUGAAAAAAAAUAAAUAAUAAAUUACAAUUUUUAAAUAUUUAUAUUAUUAUUAAUACACACAAGGAACUUGGAAGUCCUCUCAGUCUAAAAAUUUAUAGCUUUUGCUGUUCCUAACAGCAGGAACAUACAAUCAGUGCGGUGCCAAUAAAACUGGUAAAGAUCUUGAGAAUUUAAGAUCGAAUUCUGAAUUCUGCUCGCAUUCGUAAUACCAAAAUGAGGGAAUCACUGUCUAUUCUGUAACUUCUGUUUGAUUAACCUCCUAUGAACAGUAAGAAACUAAAACGAAGCAUGCCACAAGCUCCAUUUGCAUAAACCAAGAGAUUUGCCUCCCCACUCUGCUAUUAGAACUUAAUCCGCAGAAAGGUUGUCGUUUGAUCAAAAGCAGUAUCAACAGAUGUCUUCUGCAAAUAUGAUGUCGAAGAUACAUUGCACUGUUCAAGACAAGUAGCCAUGAGGCAAGGAACACCGUUUCUGAAUAACAAGCAGAUGCAAACUAACUCUAAAGCACUACUUUUUGCAACUAUGUAUACAAUGUAACUUUUAUGCUGCUUAGAUUCAGAUUUUGAGAGGUUUCAACAGAAAAUCUGAAGACAAAACAUCAUACUGGUUCAUUUUGAAGAGUUUAAUCUCAAAUUAAUUUCAGAAGAACAUUCUCCAGAGACUUUUUCUUUUGAUAGUAAAGUAGAAAAAAUGUAUUUCAGAAGAUUGUUCUCCGGAGACUGUUAACAUGGUGUGAGUAAUAAAAUAGAUCAGGAAUUAAACUUUCCAAUGAGAUUCCUACCUUCAUCUUUGGGGAUGUUUGGUUGAUCAACCAGGAGCUGCUGGAGCACACCUAGAUCACUGGCACUGCAACAUCACAAUAAGAAUCAUGACACAAGCAAUAGCAGGUUUUGGUGUUUCAACAGGAACUGAAAGUAAGCAAGAUGAACAGAAAAUGUGGAGUAUUGGUCCUUCGUUUUCCAAGUUCUCUUUCAAACUUAAUUUGGUCAUGCGUUAAGGCAUAUCAUGGAGAAAUUCCCUUAAAAACAAUCUGACACAAUUAAUUCAUGACACGAGAAGACAUGGUGCUUCCAACUGAUAUAUCGAAAUUUACAAGUUCGGCAUACCUAGGUUUUAAGGAAAUGGCACAAAGAGCUGAUAGCAAUGAUGAUUUUAGAUGAUACCUGAGAAGAAAACGAAAUGGGUAAGUAUAUGCCACUAGCUAUAGAAUAUAGAUCUCUCAUCUCCAUAUAUUUGAGGCCUUGUAUGUAACAAAAAGCCUCUUGCAGCACAGUUUUCUCAAAAACAAUCCACCAUCUCUACAUUUGCUCUACAUUAAUGUGACAGAGACUCGUCCAGUAAAUGACCACUAAAGCCAAAAAUUUGCUAGAAAUACAACCCAUCAAAUACUGUAAAUAUGAUAAUUAAUUAUGCAUCAUAAGACAAAUAAAGCACAGGAAAGAACAAGCUAAAGAAGGCUGUAAAGUUCCAGGUACUGAAAAAUAGCAUACUCCGAUUGGUGCAUAAUGUAAAGAAGCAUAAGGCCAUCUAAGCAAUCCGCGAGGCAUGGUUUUAUGCCAACUCGUUGCUGCAGUUGUUUCACACCAAGCUUACUGGAACCUCCUUUAACAAGCUGUCUUCCGUCACGAUGAAUUUUCUCAAGGGACGAAAUAAUACUAUUAAACUCCUGUCUGCAAAUGUAAAAUCUAAAUCACUUCAUUUUCCCACAUGUCAUGGUAACCAACCAAAAAUGAAACAAAACCUACAAUGUCUUUUUCAUGGAAAGCAAAAUAAUUUCCAAAGAUUCCAUCUGCUUCUGCAAGACAGCAUCUUUGAUUCCAUCAACAGAACUCAGGCCACCAUAGUUUCUAGAAUCUUGAAUAACCUGACAAGGACAAGCAUUUCCAGCUUAGUAGCAGAAGCAGCAAGAUUAAUGGAGAAAGCUUAUAUGCAUGUACAUGAAAUUGGGGGUUUUCUCUCUUGAUACCUGCAGCCUCUCAAUAAUUGAAGAAGAGUUUCUAAAUUGUGAAAUUAACCGACAUUGAAGCUCCUCCCAUCGGUUCAUUUCAUCUUUGACCAUUUUGAAUUUUUUCUGGUAUUUCUUCACAAUUCCCUCCAUCAAAGCUCCAGAGAUGAUUUUUCUUCAAAUAAUUAUUGUAAAUUCUUCGAUCAUGAGGCUACAAUUUGUAGAUUAACAAAAUUACAAAAAUCUUUCUGUAGCUUUCUCCAAAAAAAAAAAACCAAAAAACCUAAGAGAAAAUUGAGAAAUCCCUUGAGUUUUAUUAUAGUACUAGAUUUUAUGCUUGUUUAACCCACAGAUCAACAAAAGGAGUUUUCCUGGCAGUUCUUAAGUCCUCCAGUGGUGGUUUUUUCUGGCACUAAUCACUGCCAAACCACCCCCUCUUGAUCCCUCCCAAUCAUGGAAAAGGUAACGGCAGCAAUAAUCAUCUAAUAUUCAACUCCAUAAAACUAAUUAAAUUACUUGAACAGAAAAAAGCACAAUAAUUUAAGUAGCGCAAAAAAAAGGGAAGAAAUAUGCAUGCAAACAUGAGUGUAGAGAGAGAUAAAGGAAAGAGAAUGUUUCUUGGUUAUAGCCAGCAGAGUUGGAAGUGAUCUCUUCCUCACAACCACGAGGUUCGAAAAUUCCAAAAAAAAGUUCAAAUAUAAUGAGUCACCAUCAACUCUGUCAUAAGAAGAAUCAAAUGCCAAAAAUAUAUACAUCGAUCUCACCCCAAAAAUUCAAGUCAAAAUGUUACAGGGCUAAAAAGUGCUAGCAGCCCCCUUGUGUUGUAAACUAAUUAACUAUAUCCUAAUUUUUCAUGCUAUUUAUUACGUCUUGACGACAUGCAAGUAUGGGAAAGAGAUAUCAAUGUUCGAUGCACCAGAUCCAUGCAAAGUAAAAAAGAGUCAAAAGGAUAAAUACAUAAAAAGAGAAAACAAGAAAAGCGACCUCCUUCAUCUUCUUCCUUGCAACAUUUCUCUGCAAUUAAUGAUUAAUAUCCGACCAUAAAGCAUUUUUUCAUGAAAUGCCACAAAGUAUUCCAACAUAUUCGGUCAAAACAUUGUUUAAUCCCUACCAUGAGUCAUAAAGCCUUUCAGCAUAAGAAGUAUAAGUGCCUCUACUCUAACGUUCCUGCCUCAAAUUUAUCAGGUCUCUAAACCAAACUACAUUUGGCACAUGCUCAUGCCACUUGCCACAUGCAAGGGCAUUUCUCAGUUGAAUGAACUCAACCUUUGCAAUUUAUAAUCUGAAAAUGUUGUUUAUUAAAAGCAUGCUUAAAAAGAUAUAUGAAUAAUUAAAGACUCCUCAUUCUUUCCAAGUACAAUUUUUCCUAGUACCAUACCCAUAAUUGCAUGCAUGCCUCACACAAAUUUUACUCCAAUCAGCUUGCCAAAAAGGUGCAUUCAUAAACAGAUUUGCCAAUUUAUUGCAUAUUCUGAUAAGGCAUUUCUUUUUCAUUGUGAUUUUCCAACGAAGCAACAAAAGGAGCAAACCUCCAACAGAUGACAUCAUAAAGAAGAGGGACUGUUUUUUAACAUUUUUAAACCCAUAGGUGGAUACAAUUCCAAAGUGUUCCACAUGCAAUUUCCAUUGCCUAAGGUAAUGCAUCCAAUGUGAUGCAUUCAAUCAUUUCUCUUCUUAAUGUAACAACUUUUUACCAAUAAAUUCAAGUGCCAUGCAAUACUUGUGCAAUGUAAACCUCACUAGGAGGCAGAUGGUCUGUUGCAUUUUAUGCAAUCAAGAAAUUAAGAUAAAAACCCUACAACACAAUCUGCACCAUGAUGAACCAUGUACGGGAAGCGUAAAAUUUUGAUAGGGCAAUCAGAUUACUUAAAUUGCAUAUGCUGACAAGCAGCAUGACAAUAUGGAUGGAUGGCUCAUGCAUUCAAUGGCAAGGCCUAAUAUGGCUUAAAUAGUCAGGUCGGACUCUUGCUUUUUAACACUAACAGAAAUGAAAAUUUUUCUAGAAAGAGGAAAAUGAAACUUAUAAACAUUUCAAGGUGUUCUGUACUGAGUAGAAUUCCAUUCCAUGUCUUAUGCAACAAAUAACAUAGGCACCAACCUACCCUAGACAUCUAACUACACAGUAUCCAUCGCUUGGAUACAACCUUCAUAUGAACAAAAGAGAUUUUUCAUAGAUUCAGUCAUGCAUCAGAUAAUGCAUUUAGUCCAAACCAAGUUCCCAUAUUUGAAACAGGAUGCCUCUGCCUUAUGCCCGGAUAGCGUUUAGGGCAUUCUACACUUGCACUUGUUUAGACACAAGCAUGGCGAAGGCAAAAGCACAGAAAACAGGGAACGAAACAUUUAAGAAAUAUCUCCAAUGGCUUCUGCCUUUUCAACCAGCAAUAUGUCUUAAGCACCCAAGGCUUGGGAAGAUCUUUCCAGACACAUAGUUGUCUGCAACAUAGGGAAUGAGAUUUUUCUAACAAGGAUUACACACAACAGCAGUUUUGCUAACUCAAACAAGGAACAGGCUCUUGGGCGAUUCUCAGUCAGACUCUUUCAAGACUUUCUUCAACACACAAUAUGCGAAAGGAAACAACCAGAGAAGUCAAGCCAACAUCUAAGCAUGAUCAAAGGUUUAUCAUGUAUGUUCUAUAGUCUCAUCAUUCUACAUCAUUAGGAAAAAAAAAUAAAAGAUUAAUAGAGAACGCAGAACAAACAGAUUAAUCCUCUCGUGAAUCAUUUCGAAAAAGAAAAUUAUUCAUCUUCAAAUUUAUAUCUACGCUGGUAUAUUCAAGAACCAAAGAAGGAGAGCUUGAAUAUACCGUUCCCUGUAAUAAUCAUAGAGGCCCAGAAUCCCCCCCUUUCUUUAGCUCCUUCUGGCUGUUGUUCCUCCCUCUUAAUUGCAUUCUGACCUUUACUAGAAGAAGAAGUGUCUCCUCUCACCUCUCUCAGAAAGCUUCUGCCUCCCCUCUUGAUUUCAAGAAGAAGAAUAAUAAUAUUAAAGCUUCUCUCCCCCUAUCGGCUUUUCUUCUUUUUCUAAUCGCUUCUUCUGAUUCUUCCAACAUCACCCUCUCUCCCUCUUGAUCACCCAGAAGGUAAGAAGAACAAGAAUCCCCUCCUUUACUAGGGUUUCCCAAAUCAACUCUCCCCUCUUCUCUCUGUUCUCUAGUUCACUUCAUGGAUUCCUCUUUCACGGGUCUAUGAUGUUUUAGCGAAUGAAACGUACAGUCUCUUUGGGAAGCAAAACUUUUCCUUUAAUCAUGAGACUGGCUACCCAAGUGAGUUUCACUAAGAAUGCUGUGGGCUGAUGGGCCCGAUUGGGCUUUGACAAUCGGGUUGGAUUUGCGGGCCGGGUCAGAUCUUUUGGGCUGAAGGGUUUAGAUAGUUAGGGUUCUGAGCUGGAGGUUACUAGGAGAAUAGGCUAGGAUUAUUUGGGGGUAAAAAGAGGGUUUAGAGCGUUGAAUGAUUGGAAGAUUAGAUGGGUUAAAUCCAAUACUUUUCUUUUAUUUUUCUCAUUUCCUUCUUUCUUUCUUCUCGUUUUCUUUUUGGAGGGAAUCUGAUCGAAAGAAGGGGAGUGAUUUGAGAGCGAGAGGACAUGGGAGUGAGCUUCUGUCAACGACGAAAUCAGAGAGAAGAGAGACCCGAAUAAGGUAAGGGAUUCUUGUUUGCUUUUUGGUACUUAUAGUUUGAAUCAAAAGAGAGAAGCUUCACUCUUCCUCAACCAGGUUUCAGCCUAUAAAUCACUCACCUUCAAUAUUUUAGUUGCGAGUUUUAUAAAGAUCAUGGCUUCAAGACUUUCUGGUUCCUCUUCUCUUUUACACCUUGCUGGGCUCUUGCGCUGGAACUUUGUUGAAUAGAAAACUGUUUCUGGGUUGGUCUCUCAAUUGUUAGUUAGAAUGCCUUAGAGAUUCUAUUUGGAUUGCACUUGUAAUAUUAAAUUUAUUUAUUAGAAGAUGUCUGCUAAAACACCUCUCAGAGUUUGGUGUCUUUAGCUGUGAUCGUUCAUAAGAAGAGCUCGCGUUGUGUUCAUUACCUAUUUGAUUUUUCCUGUGAACCAUGGGGGUUAGCUCUCUGUUAAUGUAUACCAGUUUUAUCUGGAUAUGAUUUAGUUGGCAAAGUGUGAUAAAGGUUUCAGACUCUUGUUGGGUGACUGAAAAGUAAUGUAAUGUUUUAAACUAAAUAUUAUAUCAUAUGUCUGUCUGAAAGAUUGAUUGUCUGUGAACGUUGGAGUAGUCAGAUCCUAGCUACAUGGUCAGUUGCAAUUGAUAUUUCUUUUUCCAGCAUUCACUGUUUUGUUAUGAAAGUUACUCUUAAAAGGGGGUGAAUGUGCGGUGUGCUUGAUUGGUGAGACUUCUGUUUUUUUUUUUCACAUCAUAGGACCAUUUCUAUUGUUUCUUGUGUGAUAGAACAUUUAAUGGCUUUAUUUUUUAGUUUCAAGUUGAUAUUCUUCUUACACAGCUUCCUUAGAACCCAACUGAAGGCCAAACAUAGAGAAUUAAUAGCUUGAUCAAAAUAAUCUCAUAAACAAGCUUCUUGUCAUUCUUAAGUGAUAUAAUAAAUAACAAGAGCUAAACGAGGAGAUUUAGGGAUCCAUGCCUCUUAUAAUGAUUGCCAUCUGAAACUACUUACAAAAUGAAUAUACCUAUUCUUAGCUGACCUCCAUCACAUAUGGAAUGGAAAGAAUCAAGUUCUUCAGGGUCGCCUGUUCUGUGUGGACAAAUUUGUUAUAUUGGGUAAUAUUUGCAAAGCAAAGUUACAAGUUGGCAACGACUUGAGUGAAAAUAAAAAUAAAUGUACAAUGAGUUGAGGUUUCGUUUGUGUGUUUGAUUUUUCCCUCUCCAAUAUGGUGUUGCAAUAAAUUAAUCUAGUAAAAUUUAUUGUAUGGAUGUCACGGUACCCAAGGAAUAUGCAUAUAGGCCCUAAUUUAAUUAGUCUUUGCUUUUAUACGUUGUCUUGUUUUGAAUCUGAUUUUUUGAAUUUAGACUGGUGCCAAUACUAAUGUAUUAUCUAGCUUUUAACAGAAUCAGUAGGGACUUCCAUUCCUAAUUCAAAUUUAUGUUUUUCAGUGGUUACCAUAUCCACUGUUGGAUGGCCAAAAUUGCAAGUAAUUUUACUUGCAAGUAGAAUUUGAAGCCAUAAUUUUCUAAGCCGCUGACGAGAACAAGUUUGUGUCUUGAAACUAAAUCUCUGUGGGGGAGUAAGAAAAAGUACCAAGGAUAGUGAAGAGAAAGGAAAUGCAGGAGCAGGAGAAAGAAGGGAAAGGAGAAAUAGCAUUUGCAUUAAUAGAAGAAGAACGAGAACAGCAAAAACAUGUAGUAGGAGACCAGAAUGUUUUGCAAUUCCUCGAUUCAAUGGAUAGCUAUUUAACACUAAUGGAUUCUUUAUCUUCAAGACUUCAACUGGUAAGCAAACCUCUUCUCUUAUCAAUUAUAUUACUAGUUUGCUUCUUUUGUAAUUUUCACUCUCUUCACAAUUAUCUUUGAUGUCAUAUUGGAAAACUCCAUUUCCAUUACCUAAUCUAAACUUGUGCUGACUGAUUUCAUUAGAUGUAGUUAAAUCCUCGAGGAUUUUCUAGUUGAGGAUAAAAAGAGCUUAAAAGUAAACAGUGUUCAAGUUGUCAAUUUUGAAGAUNNNNNNNNNNNNNNNNNNNNNNNNNNNNNNNNNNNNNNNNNNNNNNNNNNNNNNNNNNNNNNNNNNNNNNNNNNNNNNNNNNNNNNNNNNNNNNNNNNNNNNNNNNNNNNNNNNNNNNNNNNNNNNNNNNNNNNNNNNNNNNNNNNNNNNNNNNNNNNNNNNNNNNNNNNNNNNNNNNNNNNNNNNNNNNNNNNNNNNNNNNNNNNNNNNNNNNNNNNNNNNNNNNNNNNNNNNNNNNNNNNNNNNNNNNNNNNNNNNNNNNNNNNNNNNNNNNNNNNNNNNNNNNNNNNNNNNNNNNNNNNNNNNNNNNNNNNNNNNNNNNNNNNNNNNNNNNNNNNNNNNNNNNNNNNNNNNNNNNNNNNNNNNNNNNNNNNNNNNNNNNNNNNNNNNNNNNNNNNNNNNNNNNNNNNNNNNNNNNNNNNNNNNNNNNNNNNNNNNNNNNNNNNNNNNNNNNNNNNNNNNNNNNNNNNNNNNNNNNNNNNNNNNNNNNNNNNNNNNNNNNNNNNNNNNNNNNNNNNNNNNNNNNNNNNNNNNNNNNNNNNNNNNNNNNNNNNNNNNNNNNNNNNNNNNNNNNNNNNNNNNNNNNNNNNNNNNNNNNNNNNNNNNNNNNNNNNNNNNNNNNNNNNNNNNNNNNNNNNNNNNNNNNNNNNNNNNNNNNNNNNNNNNNNNNNNNNNNNNNNNNNNNNNNNNNNNNNNNNNNNNNNNNNNNNNNNNNNNNNNNNNNNNNNNNNNNNNNNNNNNNNNNNNNNNNNNNNNNNNNNNNNNNNNNNNNNNNNNNNNNNNNNNNNNNNNNNNNNNNNNNNNNNNNNNNNNNNNNNNNNNNNNNNNNNNNNNNNNNNNNNNNNNNNNNNNNNNNNNNNNNNNNNNNNNNNNNNNNNNNNNNNNNNNNNNNNNNNNNNNNNNNNNNNNNNNNNNNNNNNNNNNNNNNNNNNNNNNNNNNNNNNNNNNNNNNNNNNNNNNNNNNNNNNNNNNNNNNNNNNNNNNNNNNNNNNNNNNNNNNNNNNNNNNNNNNNNNNNNNNNNNNNNNNNNNNNNNNNNNNNNNNNNNNNNNNNNNNNNNNNNNNNNNNNNNNNNNNNNNNNNNNNNNNNNNNNNNNNNNNNNNNNNNNNNNNNNNNNNNNNNNNNNNNNNNNNNNNNNNNNNNNNNNNNNNNNNNNNNNNNNNNNNNNNNNNNNNNAUGUGGUUAUAUGCCUUCUUGUUUCGUAUGCCUAAGAAAUUUAUAAUUUUUGUACUGUUGUAGCUUCUGAGAUGCAACCUGAAUAUAUCUUGCGGAAAUGGGCAUCUCUAGACACUGGAAAGUGCUGUAACACAGAUGCAAAAUCUGAAGAGGUCAUGCUGCAUGGUCCAAAGCUACGGCAUCGGGGUGAUUCCCAGCUUUUGGGUAUACUUUUUUUCUUCCGGUGAAUGGAAAACUAGCAUGUUUCAUUAUUUAGGCAAUUAAUCAAUAGGGAUAUGCAAGACUGCAACCUUAGACAAUUUGCAUACUGAUUGUAGAAGCCAUUCAAUUAAUUUUGUAUUGCAUAUAACAUUUUUUUAAUAAAAAGUAUAAUAUAUGUUCAAAGAGCGCCAAAAUUGUCAAUCCGUACACAAUUAUUUACAAGUGAGUAAAAAUAUCUAUAAGAUCCCCCAUAUCCUCGCUAGAAUACAGUGAUUGUUACCUUAACUAAAAACUCAGGAUAUGGAACCACUGAUCUUUAAGAUUGUCAAAAUUAGAGUUAAUGCCCUCAAGAGCCUUUGUAUUUCUCUCUUUCAAGAUCACCCAAAAGUUAGUUAAUGGGAUGAGUCUCAAUCACUUAUCUCCUUGUAUGCUACUCCAAGCCCAUAACUCCUUCACAAAACCGGCUGUGACCCAAUCCACACCCAAUAAGCCAAAUGUCAAGUACCAAACGUGAUAUGCAAAAGGACACCAAAGGAGGAUGUGAUUGCAGGACUCGACUUCUCUCAUGCACAAGUAGCAGUCAUUCACAGUAAUUUUUCCCCUCUUAAUGAGGUUAUCCAGAGUAAGAAUGGACCCUCAGACAGCCUCCCACAUGAAAAAACUAAUCUUUGGGGUUGCAUUAGCUUUCCAAAUCAGCCUAGUGGAAAAAUUCACCUCCUUCGGUCCUCUCCUGUGAAGGAAGCAGUAUGAUUUUAGUAAAAAGACACCUGAAGUGCUUAGUUCCAAACAUGGCUUAUCACCAGUAGAUUGAGCCCUUGAAUGAUGAUAACGUCUUCAAGAGGUUCAUAUGUUCUAGGAUUUCGCAGUCAUUUAAUUUUUGCUCUAGCCCCAUCCACCAGUCCUAAUUACUACCUUGGCCUAUCAUGUAAUCUUACUAUGGCAUUCCGAUCAAGAGCAAUUACAUAACUAUUCGGAAGAAAUUGAUGGCAUAGUGCGCCUGUCUCCACCAUUCAUCUCUCGAAUAACUCACUAUAUCCCCCAACCGUGUAGACAAUCUAAUGCAUUUACAAAGGUCUUCUUUUUUCCAUAAUAAUUCUUUUCCACAAACUCACCCUAUUCGGACCCUUGGAGUGCUAGAGAACCACCCAUGUCUGUUCACGCCAUGUUUGGCCUCAAUGAUUCUCCUCCAAAGACUCUCCUGUUCCAUCUUAAAUCUUCAAAGUCACUUCCUUUGUAGUACCCUAUUCAAGUCUGAGAAGGAUCUCAAACCCAAGCCAUCCCUCCUAUAUGGUUGUUUCACAUUCGUCCUAGACCAGCAAAUGAUACUUACUCUUUUCUACCAUGUCUCCCAACAGAAAGUUGCAUUGGAUUUUUUUUGUUCUUUUUGCCACAAUAGCGGGUGUUGUUGCCAGAGGCAACAUGUAAAUGGAGAGGAUGGCUAAUAUGCUUUUAAUUAAUGUCAAUCUAUCGCCUUUGGGAAGUAGACCCCUUUUCAACCAGCCAAUCUAGACCCAUAUAUGUUGAUCACCAGUUUCUAAGCAUAGAUCUCAUUGAAUUUAGCUCCCAAUGGCAGUCCCAGGUAUUUAAUAGGUACAUUCAUUCGUUUGCAUCCCAGGAUUUUAGUUAUGUGCUCAGUCUCAUUAUUUGCCUCUAUCAUAACCAGCUCAGAUUUCGAAACAUACCAAUACACAUUUUAUUUUGAGACCUAAUACUGCCUCAAAACAUACUAAUACACAUUUGAUGUUGUGCAACACACUGUCAUCCCGCUCACAAAAUAGUAAAGUAUCUGUUAAGAAAACAUGGGUCAUUUCCACCCUCCUCUCAUCCUCCCUCACAAACAAACCUCUGAACAAGUCAGCUUCCCUAGCUCUGGACAAAAGUCUAUUGAGCACCUCCAUAACCACUAAGAAAAGCAAUGGACAUAGAGAUCUCCCUGUCUCAAGUCCUUGAUGCUUUAAAAAAAGCUGAGGGUUCCCCACUCACCAAGGUUGCAAGCAAUGUAGAAGAGGCACAAGCUUUAAUCCAUUUGCCCCAUUUUUCACCAAAACCCAGCCUAUCAAGCAUAUAGUAUAGGAACCUCUAGGCUACAUGGUCAUACACAUUUUCUANNNNNNNNNNNNNNNNNNNNNNNNNNNNNNNNNNNNNNNNNNNNNNNNNNNNNNNNNNNNNNNNNNNNNNNNNNNNNNNNNNNNNNNNNNNNNNNNNNNNNNNNNNNNNNNNNNNNNNNNNNNNNNNNNNNNNNNNNNNNNNNNNNNNNNNNNNNNNNNNNNNNNNNNNNNNNNNNNNNNNNNNNNNNNNNNNNNNNNNNNNNNNNNNNNNNNNNNNNNNNNNNNNNNNNNNNNNNNNNNNNNNNNNNNNNNNNNNNNNNNNNNNNNNNNNNNNNNNNNNNNNNNNNNNNNNNNNNNNNNNNNNNNNNNNNNNNNNNNNNNNNNNNNNNNNNNNNNNNNNNNNNNNNNNNNNNNNNNNNNNNNNNNNNNNNNNNNNNNNNNNNNNNNNNNNNNNNNNNNNNNNNNNNNNNNCGUUUUUUUCCUCCACGUAGGCUGGGGUUUGAAAACCCGAGCCCAUUUUCCUUUCUCCAUGGCCAAAAAUCUUCUGGGCCCAUUGGAUUUGAUCAGCUGGCCUCAUGAACCUGGCACAGACCCACCAAUGAAUUCAAACUUUUGAAUUUUAAAUUUUGCUCGAUUCGGAUCCGAUCUGGGGCUCUUCUUCUCCACCAGCUUCUGUGUUCCACCUUUCAAGUUCACCCCAUUUCUAAAUAUCCAACUCCACUUUAGCAAAGAUGUCCACCCUGCAUCUCAGGCAAUUCAUCCUACACAUCGACGUUUCUGACUUGCCCUCCAUUUGGUUCGUCACUGCCAGCAGCCUCCCCUUGGUGCCUGGCGCUUUCAGUUUCCCAAGGAGUUGACUCACCUUUCCAAGCAACCUUGACCACCCACUUGCAUGAAAUCUGUCUGGAAACACCACCCUCCUUUUGUCCCCUUUCCACUCCAUGAAUGAGAAGUGCUCACCCCAUCCGUUUUCCCCCAAGCUCAAUCCAUAGGCUAUGGCCUUUCCCAUCCCCCACCUCCUAACCCAAGCUCUUUUGCCCUUAUUCCAGUAUAAUACAAACAAACAGCCAUAAACCCAAUUUAUCUCCUCUUCCAGAAGGUUAUAGAUGAUCUGAAUCCCCUGCCAUUGUCACUCAGUUUAAGACCCUCCACAUCCUUACCCACCAGCUCCAACUUAAAGGAUUUCUGUUCCACAACCAGGAAGGCCUGGUUGAGGAAGUUGACAUGAAGACACCUAGACAAGGACUCAUCUCAGACUGGGUAGCACCAAAGAUACUCUUCUGUUAGCCAAGGCAGAGAGGAUUUUCUCUCUCAAAUUGCUGACAACAUGUUGCAAGAAGUUUUUCAUUUUGUUCACAAGUUAUUUAUGGUGUGAUGUUGCUCUAAUUAGACUGGUUGUGACAUUUUUUUAGAAGAGAAACCGAGAACCAAAGAUGGGGCAUUGAUGAGAGAUGAUGAUCAAGUAAGCAUUCUCCAUCUUCUAUCAUUUGUUAAAUGAUUUCAGCUUUAUUUAACAAAUAGUUUUGAUCCAAUAAUAUUUGAAUAAUAAAAAAUAGACUAAAUUUCAACAAGCACUGGCUAUCAAGCAAUCUUUUACUGCAAAUAUUAAUGAUGAUGAACUUAGUUAGAAUCCUCUUCUUCCAUCCUAGGUUAAAAAGGAAAGGUCCAAAUCUUUGUCAGUGUUUGGAACUCUUGUCUCACCGAAGCUUCGAGCAGCCCAACUCUCAUUUGAGACAGGUGCAUAAAUUACUACAAAUGUUCUUUGAAUUGAUUAAAAAAGAUAACUAAUUCUAGUUUUUACUGGCAGCUCUAGAGACACUAGUGAAAAUAGCGAACAUGCGUUCAUCAAUGCUAUCUGCAUUCGACCAAGUUUGUGCAGAGUUGGAAGCCAGCAAAAGAUGAAGAUGAACUGUUCCUUCAACUAAAACUUUCUAAUAGUUUCUUGGAAAAUAAUAAAACCCACCCAAAAUGAAAGUAAUAAAACUUGUGGUAGUUUCUUAAAGCCAAUUGAACCUGUAACGCAUUUCUAAUAGUUCCCCUUGGAUAUGGGAAAAGAGAGAUCAAAAUAGAAAGCAAACACCUUUUUGUUCUGAACUGUGUUUGCGAUGGUUAUUUAUUUGGAACAAUGGAUUUGUAAAAUUGGAGAAAGCUCUACAGUUUUUAUUUUUUCAUUUUAACAAAUUAGCACAAAGCAGCAACGUUGAGGUGGUCUGAAACUGGAAUAAUGCAUGUUGAAGGCGGGUGAGCCUUUCAGAGAUGAAGUGGGGAAAAAGAGUAUCAGAACUUUCUUUGUGCAAUUUGUGUUUGAAUUGUGUCUCUAAUACUUAUUGUGGGCUAUUUGCUGUAUAACCAUAAUUUCCAUUGGUUAAGCAUUGAUUUUCAUUCAAUUCUUCACUUGUAGAAAUCAACUUUAGCACUGUGUGCCCUAUCAGGUUGUGUAUGUGAUUUAAUCGCUUGCCAUACGCAUUUGUUUGGAUACUUGAUGUAGCAGAGUAGGGAAAUAUAUGAAGACUUCUGUUCAGAUACUUGGUGCAGCGGUGUAAGGAAAUGUAGGAAGAUUUUUGUUUGGAUACUUUGAUAUUGGCAGUGUAAGGAAAUAUAAAAGAGCAGGGUCUCGAUGUCCGCCUCGAAGUUUCACCAUCAAUCAUCCCAUGUCGAAAUGAAAAAAUAAUUUGAGAAAGUGCGUCAGAAGUAAAUGGUUUUACUUCCAACUUAGAAACAUGCAUGAAAGACUGAAGAAAUGAGGCAAAGAGCUUUAACUUGUCUUCUCUUGUUGGACAUACAAAUGGAAGGACAAAACGACCAGGUACAAUUAACAUCCCAACAAGAGGAUUACCUCCAGCAAAAUCACCACGUACAAGAAAUAAAACCACCGAACGGGAAAGUAAAAUUUCAUACAUCUCAGUUUAUCUUUGGUUUCCAUAAAUCAUUACCACUCAAAAGAACAGCAAGUUUCCUUUUCCUCAUCCUCACAUGGCACACCAGAAAAAAUAGGUAUGAUGAAAAUACAGCAAGGUCAUCCAGACCAACCCCAUACUAUUUUACAAAAGUCAAGAUACUGUUCCUAGAUAUACAGCACAAGAAAAAAAUGGAUCACAAUGAAACAAACUCAGCCAAAAUGGAGGUAAAGAGAAUAAGACACAAAAUUAUGGACCAUCUUCUCCUUUCAACUUCACAAUUUGCAGCUACAAAGCAUUCCAACCAUCAGAAAGCAUUCCAACCAUCAGAACCCUUCUUCGGACUUCUAUUUUCUGAUGAAACCUUAAAUGGACCACUGGAGCCAAAUGGAUCAGAAUCAUCAAAUGUGAAUGCAUGAUUGCCACCAAAAUCUUUGCUGCUGUUCAUGGAGUCAAACCUGGUGAGUCUCUCCGCACCAAAGUCUCUGCUACUACUCAUGGAAUCAAAUCUUGUGAGCCUCUCGCCAAAAUCUCUUGAGCUAUUUAUGGAAUCAAAUCUUGAGAAGCCACCAAAAUCUUUGGUACUAUUCAUGGAAUCAAACCUUGUGAGCCUCUCAGGUUGCUGGGAAAAUCCACCAUCAUUCAUGUUGAAUGAAUCAAAUCUUGAGAAACUAUCAAAGUUAUCUCUUGAUGCCUCACUGAACCUUGGUGGAGAGUUUCCAAACUUGGAGAGUGGAGUGCCAGGUACAGAAUCAUCAAAUGCAAAAGGACUCUUCCUAUGAAACGCACUCUCAGAACUUGGAGAAUCUGUUCUUAUUGGGUUUAUACCAAAAUCACUGGAUCCAAAGUAAUCCCUGUGUCUCUCAGAAUCUGAGUCCUGCUGGUUGAAAUCAAAUUCAAAGUAAAAGUUAUAUUUUGUAACAACAGGCCCAAGUCAUUUGAUAGAACAUCAUGUGAAUCAGCAUUGUAAAAAAGGAGAAGAUCAAAAGGAGCAGGCAAUUGACAUUUAAAACCAAGACUUGCAUAUAUCAUUCUUUUAAUCUCUCUCUAACUUUUUGAAAGAUAGGAGUGAAUUUGUGUUUUUGUUUCCUUUAUUCUAGUCUGCACCAGAAGAAAGUUAUUUUUUGAAUUGAUAGAAGAAAAUUUUAUUAGGAUAAAAAAGACUACAAAGGCAUAGGAUUGGAUCCCCCUGAAAAAACAGAAAAAUAAAAAGGAAAAAUAAAAAAUAAGAGAAAAACUAGCUACUAUUAGGAAAGGAUAGCUGGCAGAUAUAACAACAUAAUUUGUAAAAUGAUCAUGUGCCUUACCUCAAAGAGAUGCCACUUAUCCCAAAGAAGCAAAAACAGAGAAAACAAUUCUAAAGAUCCUCACAUUCUCUAUAAAUAAGGCAACCACAAGCCAGAAAAGAGAGCGCUGCACAUCAAGCCUUGCACUCUUUCUGCUUGCAAAAAUCUCCAUUAGCAAAAGUAAUAAAUCCCCCAAGAUUCUUUGUAAAGCCCACAAGACUGAAAAUGUCAAAAAGCAGGGACCAAACCUUCUAACCCAAAGCACCAUGCAAACCUAGGUGACUAAGACUCAACAGCUUAAUAACACAUCACAUACACAUCUGGAGACAAAGCUGAUUAGAUCCGCAACUUUGGAGCAAAUCGUUAAUAUUCAGCCUUCANNNNNNNNNNNNNNNNNNNNNNNNNNNNNNNNNNNNNNNNNNNNNNNNNNNNNNNNNNNNNNNNNNNNNNNNNNNNNNNNNNNNNNNNNNNNNNNNNNNNNNNNNNNNNNNNNNNNNNNNNNNNNNNNNNNNNNNNNNNNNNNNNNNNNNNNNNNNNNNNNNNNNNNNNNNNNNNNNNNNNNNNNNNNNNNNNNNNNNNNNNNNNNNNNNNNNNNNNNNNNNNNACAAGACCAUCAGAGUGAUCAAAAAGAAGAAACAGAGUAUAUGACUUUGAGAUAAAUUAUAUAAACGAGGGAAACGAAAUGCCAAAGAAGCAACAUCAAUCCAAGGGUACUCCCAAGGCGAAAACAAGAACCAUAUUCAUCGUCAAUAUGGGGAAGGGGGAAAAUGACUUAUAAGGCUAGAUCUGGAGGCUCUUGUAAGUUGUUGAAACGUUAACUUUGGAGUCUCACUCAUUUCCAAGGCAAACCUGCCUUGCUCUUAAUAAUCCUGUACCACAGAGAUUCUAAAAGAAACUAUCACAACCUAAAUCCAAUAGGUAAGGAUUUUUACAGUAAGGUUCCCAAUAUCCAAACCCCUUUCCAGCUUUGGUAGCCAACACACAACUUAUCUAAGCAAAUGAUCCCUCAAAGUCACACUUGAACCAGACCAAAGGAAAUUCCUCAUCACCCUCCUCUAGGCUCUCUACAACUUGUCUAGGAAUUCUGAAUAGAGAUAGGUAAUUAAGGAGAUACUAGAAAAACACACCUAGACAAGAGUAACCCUAGCGCCUGAUGAGAAAAGAACACAUUUCCAACAUUCAAAACACUAGAGAUCUUAUGCACAGAAUCUGAAAAAGAAAUAGUUCGAAUUAGCCAACCUUCUAACACUCAACUCCUCUAAAUUAAUACUCGCUAGAAUCACUCUUCCUGAAGUUAAUGCGGAAUCCCAAAACCACUCGAAAAGAUGCAAGAUGGCAAGGACAUCCCAAAACUUUUCGAUUUCCUAAGAAGCAAUAGAAUUGUGUCAUCAGUAGACUAGAGGUAGGAAAUCUCAACCCCAUCAUUCCCUACGUAAAGGCCCUUAAAAGCCCAUUUUUUAUAGCUGCGAGAAAGCACAAGACUUAAUACAUUGACAAUAAUUGUGAAAAAAAGGGGAAGAAGGGAUCCCUUGCCUCAACCCCGUAUGCCCUUGGAACAAUCCCUAGACUUACUGUUCAUCAGAAUAAAAAACACCUCAAACUAGAGAUCAAACCUGCCACCUAACACCAAAACCUUUCCUCUCCAAAGCCUUAUCCAAAAAAUCUCAGUUGACUUGAUCAUAAACCUUCUCAAAAUUCAACUUAAAAUCCAUGUUCAUUUUCUCAAUCUUUGGAUCUCCUCCCACCACCUGAUUUGUGAUAAGAAAGGCGUCCAAGAUUUUCCGCAACCCAUACAAGCACUUGAGUAAGUAGAAAUCUUCUCAUCAAGCACCUUAUGUAACAUAAGAGUGAGCGCUAUUCAUACUCACCUGAGCAAACUACUCUUUGAUUGGAAUUCUUAUUCAAGUUAACUCACUGUUAACUGAAGACAAGUUCUCCACUUCUAUGUAAGCCACAGAUGAAGAUGAAGAUGUGUGCCCCCGAACCUGAUGAUCUAUCCAUGACGAGGAUGAGAUGGGUGAAACUAAGUGGAGUCCAAACCGACUGAUAGAUUAGCAGAUGAUCGUGGCUAGGUAUGAAUGNNNNNNNNNNNNNNNNNNNNNNNNNNNNNNNNNNNNNNNNNNNNNNNNNNNNNNNNNNNUUACAGGAUUAAAUCCCCAGACCGAGUCUGUAUCGUCAUUAUUUUCAAAGGCACCCCAGGUUGACUCAUCAAAGCUCCUGUCCAAAAAAAUAAUUUUUACAAAUAAUAAAAGACAAAUAAACAUGCCUUUACUAUGACUAGAAAAAACUGUUGGAUGUCCUAACAUUGCCGUAAAAACAAAACAGAAACAACCUAUACCUGUGUGUCUCCGCAUCUGCUUCGGAGCUCUUUCCAUGGUGGAUAUCAGAAUAUUCAGAGGACGGGCUUUCUGCAUGAAACCUUGCAGCUGGACUGCUCUGAGGGCUUCUCACAAGCUCAUCUUCACUGAGGGUAUAUAAAGACUCAUUCUCCAUAGGACGUUCUCCAGUACUCGGAAAAUGCCUUGGCUUUUCAUCCAAGUUGGACAAGGAAUCUGGAGUGAAACUAUCAUCUGCAGAACCAUUGUCUCCAUGAACAGAGGCGGACUUUUCAUUUGGAGAGACUGGUGCAUCUUUUGCAUCAAAUUUGAGCUCAUUGACAAAUCCUGGGAGCCAAAGGAGACAUUAGAUCCUUAAAUUGUCUGGGUAUGACUCUCAAAUUGUAGCAUCAAAUGCAGCAGAGAUAACCCAUAGAAAGCAUCAACCAUGUCCAACAGUCAAUACUAGCAAGAACAAGGUAUACCUUCAUCUUCAAACUUAUCCCAAUCCUCAUCCCAAAGAGCCGCUCCCCCUUGAAUUCCAGGUUGCCAGCCUUGAAGACAUUGCAAGAGAAAUACGCAUUAAUAGAGCUGUAGUAAGUUAUUCAAAAGGUUUGGUACGUUACGAGACAUCCAAAAAUUAAAACCAGGUGCAUUCAAGUGCAACAAGGAAAUCAACACGAGAAAAGAGCAUACAGAUUGUUGGGCAUUCCAUAAAAAAUGCCAAACAGAAAGUUUACUAAUUGACAGAUAUUAACUGCAGUUAAAAGCAACAUCCAAGCUUUUCCUAAAACACCAUGCACAGGAAAUACAACAUCAUAGUUCUUAACAAAUAAUAAACCAAAAACCUCAAACUUCAAAUUUGAAAGAAUCAAUAGAGAAAUUAGAUCUAUAUCACAGGAUAACCCAGUGAACAAGUACCAGUCGUAAGUCAAAAUCUUAUGAGAGACAAAGAAAAAUCUUCCCCAAUUGUACAAGCCUUGUGAUCGGUUAACUACAUAUAUCAGACACAAAACAUACAACAAGAAACAAGAAAGUUCCAAGAAAAUCACAAGAAGAAAGAUGAUAGAAGUUAGUAAUGGAUAACAUCAUAUUCAUAUAACUUAAUUGGAACAACCACCAAGCUAUUAGUGUCGCAAACCACUUUUUAUCAUAGAAGAUCAGAAGGAAAAAUCAUAAUAUAAGGUCCAUAAUCCGACUAGAAAUACCGAAAGGAAUCUCAAUUAAAGCUUUUGGUUUAACAUCUAUUCCAUGUUUCUUGCAACGCUCAGUUAGAACCUUCAUUAGCUCCUCAAGAUCUGAUUGUAUGCGAUCUGCACGGACCUAAAGAAGCAGCAAUAGAUCAAUGUUAGGCAAGUUUAAAUACGAACUUGUAUUUUCUUGUUAUAGCUAAAUGGAUUGAAUUUACCUGGAGGAUACCAUCUGCGCUGCCACCUUGUUCCAUAUUAACAAUUGCGUGAUGCAAUUCUGUCUUUCUUCCCUGAUGACCAGGCAAAAUUGAGAAACAAAAUGAGAUUCAUAAGAUAAAUUUUCUAGAAACAAACAUUUAGAAGACUGCUUAACAAUAUAGAGAACAUGAGAAUAAGACACCUGAACCAAAAUGAUGGCAAGAAGCCCAGAAAAGGAAAACAAAUUAUGCUAUAUCUCAUCAAGGAAAGAAACUAAUAUUUUGUGCUCUUCUUACCAAACACAAAGGGUAAACAGUGAGACACAAAGGGUAAAGUUAAAAUCUUUCUGUAUUCAGCUAAAUUACGUAACGUCAAACUAAAGAGAACAAUGCCAAAGGUCUGGAGAACCCAAGGGCAUCUUCAAAAAGAAAAAAGAACAAGGAACUGUUAUUACCUGUAUCUCACGAAAUCUGGCAUCUUCAAUGGUUAAUUUGGAUGCUACUUCUGCAACUUGUUUGUACUUUUCUUCAUAUUUUUUUGUCAAUGUCUCUGCCUGUAGCCCAAAACCAACUCAGAAAAUUCUUUUGUGAGCUAAAUACAAUUUUUCAUAGAAUUAGUCAAUUAGUAAGUACCUCACGUUUAUCUGCAGAUGCUCUUUCAGUGAUCUCAUUUAACCGAUUGUCACAUCUACUUUUAUAUAACACCUGAUAUGAAAUAAAUAAAUAAAUAAAUACCAUGUAGAGACAAGGCUGAUAUGAUAAUGGGCCAACAUGAACUUCAAGCUUUUUUAUGUAUAUGUUUAUAUGGUUAUCUUAAUUUCUUCGACAGAAACUAAUAAAGAGAGAAAAGUACCAGCAAUAUAUGCCAAGACCCUUUCUCUACAUGGUAGGACAGUAUUUAGUAAUGAUAUUAAACUGAUUUGUUUAACAAGAAUCACGCGAGCUAACUCUCAACCAGUUAUAAGAAUUGCCAAGAUUAGUUAACGAUUUUACUCCAUGUUUAUGAUAUUCUCAAUCAGGACAAGCUAUCUGAAAACAAUGGAUGUUGGAUAGUCUAGAGAAUAGGAUAUAAAAGGAGAGAACAGAUAAAUAAAGAGGAAUCCGAUGAUCAAGGUAAAGAACGAACAAAGUAGAGGAGACAAAAAAGAACAGAGGGAGACUAAAAUGGAGAUAUAUCAAGGAGACAGAAUAAUAAAGAAUGGAGAUAGAAUAUGAACCAAAACCCUAGCAAAAAAUUCUCAAUUCAAUAUUGCAUAAGGUUGUCUAGGUUAUUACAAUGAGAUUAUAAUACCAGCUCUGGGUUUUUGAGGAGUUCAACAGCAUCUCAAGGCUAUAGUAUUUGCCAAGGCAGUGGUUGUAGGACAUAUCUUAUUCUCCUAUUAUUAGUCUCCUUUUCCCCUUGUGUGACUGCUGCUUCACAGCCUAUCUAGCAGAUGGAGAGGAUGAAAUAAUCAAUCAAGAAAUUGUUAGACUAUAAAAACUGUACAAGCAGCUAAACAGGGAUGGUUUACAUUGAUGAAGUUGAUGAGAUGACUAAGAUUCUCUUGCCGUUUGAUCAACAUCUUAUUUUAUAUUUCAGUUAAGGUUAAAAUUUAACUUAAGGAGAUUGAUAUGAGACUGAAAGCUACUUUCCAAGUUGGAAGGAAAAUAUUCAGCACUGCUCAAGACAACAGGCAAAGAAGCAGUGUGUAAAUUUCAGAGUUUCUAAAAGACAAAUAAUUUCACCUUUUCCUGGACAAAGAAGGUUGAUUGGUUAAAUCAAUUAAGUCCAAAUUGGAUGAUGGUGACAAAGUCACCUCUGCGCAGAAAAUUCCAUCGGGAUACAUCUUGGCUGAGAUCACAAAAAAUAGUUGCAGGAGAUUUCUGACUCUUACACAGCACGAGGGAGGUUAGAGCUGGAGAAGAAUAUGUGUGAAGGAAGUCAAAGAGCAGGAUGGAAGGGUUUUCAAGACAUUGAAGCGAUUCUGCAGGAGAGAAGGAAUAGCUCCAACCAGCCAGCGGCUGGAAGUAGUAAAAUGGAAACUAUUCUAAUGGUGGAUCAAAUGGUGGAGGGUGGCUGAGAGUGGCUACAGGCAGCAAGACAACGAAGCAAAUUUUAAUUUUUUAAAGGUGUAAAAUCAGUCCUACAAAUAAGGAAAGAAGCAGCAAUUAGGAGAUGGAGGGAUAUGGACACCCAGAUAGUUAUGGAGAAUCAGCAAUUGUUAGCAAGUCAUUCCAUCAUCAUUAGGUUGACCUCAAAAAAGGAAGGAAAGUCCGCUGCCUUAAAAGAAAAACGGUUCAGCAGAAUUCACUCAAAAAUGCUCGAUUAAAUUGGUUAUGGACCAAAAUAAAGGGGCCCAAUUCAGAAACAAAACAGCCCAUAUAUGUCUCUCCUACUGAACAACUUAAUUGGGGCUGCAAAAUCAGGCCCAAGGGUAGGGGGAAAAGGGCCGUUUGGCAACCCAAACAGAAGAGUCGAAAGACCUAGUGCCUAUCUCCUAUCUGAUCCAAUUCAACAAGGUCGCAGGGUCCAUAUCUCAAUGAUGCCGAGAACACUGUUGGACAGAAACAGGCUGAUGACCAACAGCUGAGUGAGUGAGCCAAAUGCUAGCAUCAGAAUGAUUACACACCUAAAAUCCAUUACUAUCGCUCCUUCCCAAUGUUGACAGGCCAAAGGGACAGAGUGAAAGUGUGCGCAGAUCAACGGGAGAAGAUACAGAACAUCAAGGACAAUUUUAUGGCAGAACUGGGCGAACAGUCGGUUCAGAUGGAGCCACCGAAUCCGAAUACUAAGGCACAAGAGUGGUUUAGACAAACGCGAGGUGUUAGAUAGGGCAACCCUCUCUCUCCCUUUCCUUUUACUUUGAUGGUGGAUGGGUUGAGCAGGAUGCUGAUUAGGGGUUUAGAACGUGGGGUCGUUGUAGAGGAUAUGCGGCUGGUAAGGAUAAAGUCAAGGCAUCCUAGAUCAAGUUUAUUGAUGAUAAAAUCUUGUUCCUAUCACAAGAUCAUAGAUCAAUCUCUAGCACUAUCAUAGUCAUGAGGGUUUUCGAGCAAGUGUCGGGAUUUUGCAUCAAUAGGGCCAAAUAUGGAUUAGUAGGGAUUAAUGCGGAUAAUAGCAAAGUGAGAAACCUCACUGAGACAAUAGGGCGUGGGACCUUAUCUUGGCCAUUUAUGGUGGCAACCUUAGGUGUAAAUCUUUUUGGGACGGCACAGUUUAAAGUGUCUAGAAGGUUAGGAUGUUGGAAAAUGAGUCUUUUUUCAAUGGGGGGUAGAGUAUUCAGGCUUGUUUGUCUAGCAUCUCUCUUUUUUAAAUGUCCUUUGUUUAAGGUUCCGCCUGACAUAAUCAAGCAGGUAAAGGGUAUGAUUAGGAAUUUCUUGUGUGCUCGGUAUGGGAAGAAAGGAGGGAUCACCUUGUGACUUGGGAGGUUUGUUGUAGGUCUAAAACUUUCAGAUGUUUUGGUAUUGGGAAUUAAAAGUCUAGAUAUUUAUCAUUAUUGGUUAAUUGGCUUCGGCAUUUCCUGCAGGAAACUAAUUUUUUGUGGCAUAAAAUUAUCAAAAGUGUUCAUGGACAUCAAUAAAAUGGUUGGGAUGCAAUUGCAAUGAGAUCUUCACAACAGAAAGUCCCUGGAAGGCGAUAUCUAGUUUGCGUAACCUAUUUACACCUCUAACCAGAUAUAAGGUGGGGGAUGGCACCAAAUUCCUCUUUUGGGAGGAUAAAUGGAUGGGCGACCACCCCCUGGGUAUCCAGUCCCCUCUUCUUUUUUGUCUAUUCUCCAACCACAAGGCACCAAAAGUCCAGUUCCUUUGUCUUUUAAACGGCACUGUUAACUGAGAUUUUUAUUUUUUCCGGAGCCUUAAUGAUAAAGAAGCCAUUGGACUCCUAUCCUUGUUAAGCCUCUUAAGUUCUUUCUAGCCCCCUCUCAACAACCUGAUUAUAGAGUGUGGACCUUGGACUCUUCAGGUUCAUACACUUGUAAAUCUUUCUUUCAAUCACGCUACCAAAAAUCCAGAUCGCUACCAUAGCCUUUUUACCAAGGCUUUCUGGCAAGUUAAGGUUUCGUCUAAGAUAAAGGUGUUUGUGUGGACUGCUAUUCUA
This 37886-nucleotide long non-coding RNA is filed under the name Carica papaya (papaya). Its description in RNAcentral is "long non-coding RNA (CPAP_LNC010562)". Lineage: Eukaryota; Viridiplantae; Streptophyta; Magnoliopsida; Brassicales; Caricaceae. The record is from RNAcentral.